UACGUAGGGGGCUAGCGUUGUCCGGAAUCAUUGGGCGUAAAGAGCGUGUAGGCGGCCCGGUAAGUCCGCUGUGAAAGUCGGGGGCUCAACCCUCGAAUGCCGGUGGAUACUGUCGGGCUAGAGUGCGGAAGAGGCGAGUGGAAUUCCUGGUGUAGCGGUGAAAUGCGCAGAUAUCAGGAGGAACACCAAUUGCGAAGGCAGCUCGCUGGGACGCAACUGACGCUGAGACGCGAAAGCGUGGGGAGCAAACAGG
Molecule: ribosomal RNA, 253 nt
Filed under: uncultured bacterium
Lineage: Bacteria
Description: partial 16S ribosomal RNA
Rfam family: Bacterial small subunit ribosomal RNA
Source: RNAcentral